This 425-nucleotide ribosomal RNA is filed under the name Arthrobacter sp. acu65. Its description in RNAcentral is "bacterial SSU rRNA". It matches the Rfam family "Bacterial small subunit ribosomal RNA", at positions 137 to 569 of the family's 1533-position model. The record is from RNAcentral. Lineage: Bacteria; Bacillati; Actinomycetota; Actinomycetes; Micrococcales; Micrococcaceae. RNAcentral also lists the same sequence under 1 other name.
UCUGGGAUAAGCCUGGGAAACUGGGUCUAAUACCGGAUAUGACUUCUCAUCGCAUGGUGGGGGGUGGAAAGCUUUUGUGGUUUUGGAUGGACUCGCGGCCUAUCAGCUUGUUGGUGGGGUAAUGGCCUACCAAGGCACGACGGGUAGCCGGCCUGAGAGGGUGACCGGCCACACUGGGACUGAGACACGGCCCAGACUCCUACGGGAGGCAGCAGUGGGGAAUAUUGCACAAUGGGCGCAAGCCUGAUGCAGCGACGCCGCGUGAGGGAUGACGGCCUUCGGGUUGUAAACCUCUUUCAGUAGGGAAGAAGCCCUCUUUUGGGGGUGACGGUACUUGCAGAAGAAGCGCCGGCUAACUACGUGCCAGCAGCCGCGGUAAUACGUAGGGCGCAAGCGUUAUCCGGAAUUAUUGGGCGUAAAGAGCU